RNAcentral lists this ribosomal RNA (434 nucleotides) under uncultured Clostridium sp. RNAcentral's name for it is "partial 16S ribosomal RNA". It matches the Rfam family "Bacterial small subunit ribosomal RNA", at positions 341 to 792 of the family's 1533-position model. Lineage: Bacteria; Bacillati; Bacillota; Clostridia; Eubacteriales; Clostridiaceae. The record is from RNAcentral.
ACGGGAGGCAGCAGUGGGGAAUAUUGGACAAUGGGGGAAACCCUGAUCCAGCGACGCCGCGUGAGUGAAGAAGUAUUUCGGUAUGUAAAGCUCUAUCAGCAAGGAAGAAAAUGACGGUACUUGACUAAGAAGCUCCGGCUAAAUACGUGCCAGCAGCCGCGGUAAUACGUAUGGAGCAAGCGUUAUCCGGAUUUACUGGGUGUAAAGGGAGCGUAGACGGCGCUGCAAGUCAGAUGUGAAAGGCUGGGGCUUAACCCCGGGACUGCAUUUGAAACUGCAGUGCUCGAGUGCCGGAGAGGUAAGCGGAAUUCCUAGUGUAGCGGUGAAAUGCGUAGAUAUUAGGAGGAACACCAGUGGCGAAGGCGGCUUACUGGACGGUAACUGACGUUGAGGCUCGAAAGCGUGGGGAGCAAACAGGAUUAGAUACCCUGGUA